RNAcentral lists this ribosomal RNA (309 nucleotides) under Funneliformis mosseae. Lineage: Eukaryota; Fungi; Glomeromycota; Glomeromycetes; Glomerales; Glomeraceae. The record is from RNAcentral.
CAGUCAUACCAACGGGAAAUCAACCUUUUGAGCUCGGUCUCGUGGGUUUUGAAGAGUUUCAAAGCCUUCGGAUUCGCGGGAUUGGGGAUCUCUUGGCGUACUUUUUCGUACGGUUAGUCAACAUCGGUUUUGAAUGUCAUAAAAUGACUGGAGGAAUGUAGCUUCGAUCUCGUAUUGAAGUGUUAUAGACUCUGGUAGAUGUGACGGUUGGGAUUGAGGAUUGGCAACGGAUACCCUUCGGGGGCUACCCGGUCUGAUCGUCUGAAGGUUGCUCCGGUGCCGAAAGCGUGCUUACGGUCAGUCGAAAGU